Molecule: long non-coding RNA, 1539 nt
Organism: Passer domesticus (house sparrow)
Lineage: Eukaryota; Metazoa; Chordata; Aves; Passeriformes; Passeridae
Exons: 4
Source: RefSeq, a predicted model, not a curated record
UCUUGUAUAAUUUAUAUUUUCUGAUUGAAAAUAUUUUUUUGUCUUGUUUAAAAGGGGAGAAAAAUUAUUGAAAACAAUUUGAUUGUUUCCAAAGGAACAAAAUUUCUCUUUUAAGAGCGAUAACUUAAAAAAUAAAAGUCUAUUUUUUCUUGGUUAUGACUGAAUAACACAUUCAUGUCAGCCCUUCCCAAUCCUUUAACUUGAACAGGCUUUGUUAUAUUCUGUGUUAUAUUGGGGGGCUGUAGGCACAAGUGGGGAAUGUGUUUUACUGUCCCUGGAAAUAUGUACUGGAUAAUGAUGGUCUUUGCCCUUCACCCCUUCCCUUUCUAGGAGAGCUGAGGGUGGAAACUGCUGAGCUUGAGCAAAUUCCAAGUGGAUUUCUUUUCCUGGGAUGAAAUUUUGUACCCUCAGCCUUACCCUGACCAGCUACAAUCUCCAAGUGAUGCUGCUCUGUGAGCUUCAUGUCAUAAAUCAUACAAUCACCUUUCCAUUUUCUCUCAGCUGGAGCACCAGGGUGUUUUUUCAGUCUUUUGUGUCACUUUUUGGAGGAGAAAUUGCACUGCUGCAUCUUCUGGUGCACAGCCACCUCUCUUUGUUUGAUACUGUGAACCAGAGGCUGGUGACAAAAUUUUUAGCAGUGGUGGUUUUAAACUGAAAGAGGGUCGGGUGAGAUUGAAUGUAAGGAAGAAGUUUUUACAAUGAGGAAGGAAAAACGUUGGCACAGGCUGUUCAGAGAAGCUGUGGAUGCCCCAUCCCUGGGAGUGUUCAAGGCCAGCUUGGAUGUGACUCAGAGCCACCUGGUCUGGUGGAAGGUGGAAGAACUCCAGAUGAUUUUGGGCAUUACCACUGGUUCCUCUGGAGUUGGACAGUUGCAGACUCAGCUGGUUGAUGUCAGCACAAGAGCUUGACAUGGUUUAUUGCCAUUUUCUGCACUUGUGGAGCUCCCAGGAUGCUGAUCCUAGGCUGUGGAGAGCUGCAAAGAAAUCGACAUUUCAGAAGUGAUUGAAAACGUCAAUAAACCUCUGGCCAGUGAGGUCCAGAGGCUGGGCCAAGCACAGGGUGGUUCCCCCAAAAACAAACCCAAUGGAAAGGGCAGGUGAGACCCCUCUGCAAGUCACCAUUUCCAUCCCACAGAGCCCAAAAAUGACUCCAGAGCAGGCACUGAGGUGGAUGGGCUGGGAAGCAGGGACAAAUCAGCAGCACUGAAGACCCCCAUUUGGACAGGCUGAUGCAGAGGAGGAGAGCAGCCCCUGCUGUCGUGUGCUGAGUGGAUGAAGAAUCACAGAAUAAUGGAAUGGUUUGGCUUGGAAGGAAUCUUGAAGACCAUCUAAUUCCAACCCCCUGCCAUGGGCAGGGACACCUUCCACUGGACCAGGUAAAUCCCAUCCAACCUGGCCUUGAACAACUCCAGGGAUGAUGCUCCAUGGCUGUUUCAAACUGUUCCAGUGCCUCUCUAGCCUCAGGGUAAAGAAUUUCUUCCUAAUAUUUAAUCAAAAUCCACCCUCCUUCAGCUUAAGGCCCCUCCUCCUUGUCCCAUCA